CCAAAAACAUAGCCCCAUUCCACUUAUAUGGGGUGCAACCUGCUCAAUGGCUGUAAAUAAAUAAACUAAUAACAGUUAAAUAGCCGCGGUAACUCUGACCGUGAUAAAGUAGCAUAAUCACUUGUCAUUUAAUUAAUGACUGGAAUGAAUGGUUUAACAAACCCUACUCUGUCUCGAUAAGAAAUUUUAUAAAAUUGAAAUUGUAGUGAAAAUGCUACAUAAAAAUUGUAAGACGAAAAGACCCUAUCGAGCUUUA
Molecule: ribosomal RNA, 256 nt
Filed under: Chrysaora chinensis
Lineage: Eukaryota; Metazoa; Cnidaria; Scyphozoa; Semaeostomeae; Pelagiidae
Description: partial 16S ribosomal RNA
Rfam family: Bacterial large subunit ribosomal RNA
Source: RNAcentral